UUUGUUAAUUCAAAAGUAUCUCAUGCCACAUCUUCUUCACAAAUUAUGUGAUCACAAAGGUUAUUAUGGUCGCUUGGAAAAUGUUGCAAAUCUAAAAUAGCACAUUCACAAAACUCACGUUGCAAAACAUGAGCAAUCCAUAACAAGCUAUUCUUUAUAAUAUUCAUCAUCAUGUAAAAAUUGGGCUUAACUAACACAUCUCUAAAAAUUCAAGAAGAUGGUUUAGGCUUGCAAGAGCAUACUUCAAUAUCAAAGGACAAGUAGAGGACCACUGCCUGGUAACGUUUUGUCUGGUUACCAUCUUUAGGAUCAUUGGCUUCGAACGUGAUGUAAGAGCGUGAUUGCAGCAGAUGGGUGAAAAUUUGCUCUCAAAACCUUGAGAAGUUCCAAACUUGUAUCCUACAAACAUGCAUCACCAUAACCAACACACUAAUUAUAUAAGCUAAUUAAGAAACUCAUCAGCAAACAAGAGUAAAAAGUUAUUUGAUUCAUUCGAUUACUAACCGUCUUGUCGUUGUAGUAGGAGAUAGCCAUGUUGGACAACCUGUUGAGCAAAUCUAAUGAGUCAGACCCGAUACAAAUUACAUAAAGUCUCUUUAGCCACAAAAUCAACUAAAAAGUUUGCAGAUCGAUAAGAAAGGAGAAAGUCCAAACUUCAAAGAGUUCUAAAGGAGCUAAAUUUUAAUUACUGUACAUGUCCAAACAAAAAAAUCUAUGAUAGGUUAUUUUUCCAAACAAAUUUUUUUUUUUUUUGUUGCUUCGGCCCCUAAUUUCCUAGAACCGGCCCUGGCCAUUAGGAAAAACAUUUUUGAUACAACAUUUUAUGUUUUCUUGUCAAACUUUCAAAUAAGGCCCAAUACACGGAGACACGUCCCUAAAAUGCGCUUAAUAUAAUUGGAAUGAUGCGAAAAACAUAUAUAUAUAUAUAUAUAUAUAUAUAUAUAUAUAUAUAUAUAUAUAUCAGUUUUUUUUUUUCUUAUUUACUUUUGACACAUGUCAAUCAGACGCUUUUUACAUUUAAAUUAGAAUAGUUAAUCAAACAUUUCCACAUAGCAACAAAGAUGACAAAACAAUUGUGACGAAUUAGUUACAGAUUAGCGACCAUAUAGUUGGUUACAAAAUCAUAACGAAAAAUAUCACAAAGUUGUGACGAAAAUUUACGGUGACAAGUUUAGUCUUAAUAACUCAAGUUUUUUCUUUUUUUUUUUUUUUUUUUUUUGCGGUCUAGUGGCAGAGGAAGCUUUGGAAAAUGGUGAAACUCCCAAACCUGAGUUCGAUUCUCCCUGGAAACAAAAACACAUUUGUUUGGGAAGUCUGUCAGUUGGACCUUGGCCUAAUUGGUUUACCUGGUAGCCAGAAAUGCAGGCGGCCUGACUACCCCCUGGCACUUAGUCGGAAGGCAUUCCAAACUCGGGAUAGACAGAGUGGUAGCCCGUAAGGGCCUAACCGUUAACACGGUGGACCAGUCCACUAUGUAGCACCUCGGUGCGUUCCUACCGGGGCCGACCGGAUAGCCGAUAGUGUUUAUCAAAAAAAAAAAAACUUAGCAUAGAGAUAGUGGUAAUUUAAAUUUGAAUUUUAUGUAAUCGAUCUGAAUCAUACCGAAUCAAAGCAAAUUAAAAAUCAAACAAAAGUUUUGUUCUAAUGAUUAUAACAAACAAAGCAGAAGAAGUAGAGAAGGGAGACAAAUGCUUUUACUAAAUCCUAGUAUGAUUUUAGAAAGAAUAUAAAGAAGAAAACCCUUUUAUCAAAGGAAAAAAAGAGAAAAGAAUAUAAAGGUCCAAAAGCAUGAUCUAGUUUCUCCGUUUUGUUCGCCUUUUAUUAUAUAAGUAUAAUCUUAAAACGGAAAAUUAUGUUUAUGUGAUCCUGAGAGCGCGUGGAAACACUUUCCGAAAAGAGAAUCAUACUAAAAGCUUAUAAGACUCUCUAGCGAAAAAGAAUAAAGUAAAGUACUUGUGGGAGUUGUGGAGCAGUCACGUGUUGUCCCACUUGCGUUAACUCGUGUAAUAAUACAUUAUAACAGUCAGUUGCCGACAAAAAUAAAAUAUACAGAACUAGUACUUGUGGCGCAGUCAAGUGUCGUCCCACUUGCGCUAGCCUGUCGAGUGUCGACAACAAGAUUCCCACUUGUUCACAAAACAAGAUUUUUCUUGUACUACAAAAGAAAGAAGAAGAAGGUAUUAUUUUUUAUGCAUUAGAAAAUGAAAAGAAGAGAGUACUACCUAUUUGAAUUCAAACGCUUUAAAAAAUACGGACGUGUAAACUUUAGACUACAGCUUGCAUGAUCGAACUUGUGACAUGAGAGUUGGGUGGGCCCGUGGACCACUACACUAAUUAAUUGACAUGUCAAACACGCUUUUCUAUCUAGUAAGGUGUUUUUUUUUUUUUUAACUAUCUACUAAGGUUAUUUGUUUUUAACUUUUUAUCGAUUUUUAAUAUCUUUUUGGGUCUAGUAUUCAUAUAGGUAACUAUAUAUAUCGCAAUGCAAAAAUACUAUUGUGUUUUCUUUUUUUUUCUAACAUACAUAAUUUUUUUUUUUAUUAUCAUCUAUGUUGUUUAAAGUUUUCUUUUAAUAAAAAGAAACAGUUUUGAAAAUAUAAAACAUAUUAGAAAUAUGAUGUAUUCUAACAUUUUAAUCUCUAAAAACUUUUUAAUUACCACUGAGACAAAAUUUCUCUUUCAAAUACACAAUUAAGGAACUAUAACGUAAAUCUAAAAUGUAAAUUUAUUAAUAAUGGUCAAUACUAUAUUAUAAUGUGAUUUUAAUACUUUUGAUUUAUUAGCUUUUACGGGUUGUAAUUUGCUCUACAAAACCAUAUCGUAUUGGCCUUAUUAUACUUUUUUUCUCUAUUGGAUUUCAAUAAAAACUGAAAGUUUGAGAAAACAGAGAGAAACAGAACAUUAUCUAUGAUGAAGAUUAAAACAAGAGAUUUAUAAAGAAAAUUAGAGUCUUAAGUUCACGUACGACGAUUCCUUUCAAUUUAGUUUUGUAGCCUCGUUGGACCUCCUAACACAAGAUAUGAGGUGAGCCAUCCAUCCCUUAUAACACUUCAGGCAAUCUCCCUAACUAAAAAAUUAUCUUUCGGUGAAGAGAGGUUGAAAAUUACUUCUCGUAUCACCUAAAAAAUAUUGUUAAGGAUGGAACGAUAUUUAGGCCACUCUGACGGUUUUUCUAUUAGACCAAAGUUCACAAGAAUCUACAUGCAUAUCAAGAGAGCAUAAGAUGCAUUAUAGCUCCGCUGAGAUAUGUUUUACCAUUGGAAGGAAUGCAUCACCAGCAUGGAAUAAAGUGUCUCCCAUAUAUUCUCGUAGUAUUCACGCACCUCCGCGGAAAGCUUCCCCAUUUAGGCCUUACUAUCUUCACCAUCGUUUAUAUGCCAUGAGAAAUUUAGAUUUUAAUUAAAUUGGUGAUACUUUAGAAGUCUAGAAUUUUUAUGAUCAUUAAAACAUAAUAUUCCAAAUCAUGAUAAUUACUUUGCCAAAAAACUUUUUGUUUUAUAUUUUAUUACAUUUGUUUUACACAACAAAAUAUUUUCACUAUAUUUUAUUUUCUAACAAAUAUCUUUUGUAAUUAUUUUAAGGGUUUUUAGUAAUAAAACCCCUCAACUAAAAAUAAAUUGUAAAAAAACCCCUCAAUUAUAUAUUUAGUGAAAAAACCCCUCAACUUAAAAUCUGUAACAGAAAUCUCCCUCCAUCGAUAUUUUCUUGAAAAUUGGACGAACUACUCUUAAAUUGAAAUUGAAAACUGACAUAUAUACACUUAAACAACAUGAAUAGUCAACAAAACCAACAAAAUAUUCUUCUAUCCGAUUAUAAAUCUCCAAACUUAGCUCUAAAAUUCUGAAAUUGAAAAAUCUAAAUUGAUGAGCCCAAAUUUAUCAUAAUGAGAUUCUCUGAAAUUUAUAUGGUGUUAAAGUCGAUUAGGAGAGAUUCUAAAAAAUAUUAUGUUUUAAUUUGAACUGUAGGUCGUCCAAUUUUAACGAUACUAGGGAGAAUGUGAUUUUCAUUAACAGAUUUGAAAUUGAGAGGAAUUUUCAUUAACAAAUUUGAAGUUGAAGGGAUUUUUUCACUAAAUAUAUAAUUGAGAGAUUGUCUUACAAUUUAUCUUUCGUUGAACGGUUUUCUUACUAAAAACCCUUAUUUUAAGCGUCUCAACUCAAAGUGAUAAGAGAUUCUCUCUUUUCCGAACAAGUUCAAAGAUUUUAGUUUCCUCCAUCUAACCGUUUAUAAAAAAAUCGUAAAAUUUAGAAAUCUACAAAUAUAAACAAUUUACCAUCUACCUAUAGAAAGAUAACAAUUAUCACUUAGUAUAAUAUCUACAUAUACAUUUUUAUAGAGUUUUUUUGCAUUAAUUCAUUUGGAUCCGGGUUUUACCCGGAUUUAACUCUAUCCGGAUCUUGGAUAAGGAAUUUUAGGAAUGUUGUCUUAAUUUCAAACUGAUAAAUGAAGCCAUGUUGUCUUUAAUUCAUCUACUUACUCCGUUUAGUGUUUCUUUAAUUACAAAGAAGUUACCUAUUUUAAUGGUAAAUAAUCUUUCAUAUUUAUGACCCUAAUAAAUAGCCAAUUUUAAUGAAAAAUCGUUUUUCAUAUUUAUGCUCAUAAUAAAUGUCCAGAUUUUAACAAUAAAUAUAUUAUGAAAUUAUAAAGAAAAAUGUAUUUAUUUCUUAACAGUAUAUAUAUAUAUAUAUAUAUAUAUAUUAUGUUAAUAAAUUUGUGUAAAUACUCCAAUAAUAAGCUACAUCAUUUUUCUUUUACAAUAACAGAUUAAAUAUAGGCAAUUCCCCAUUUAAAUUGCAAUAAAUUUAAAAUCAAAAUAACAAUUAAUAUAUACAUUCAUAAGGAAAUCAUAAUAAAAUAUGUUUAUUUGAAGAUUAUAUAUCCUAAUCUUCACAUAAUCCGUAAUUAUGUUUUUGAUAUAUUUGAAUAUCUAAUAUUAAAUUUCUAAAGGAUUCUCAAAAUAUUUUUUAUAAUAAAUAUUGUUUUUACGAAUAAUAUUUUGUUUUGUUAUAAAAAGUAAUAUUUGUUAUUUUCCUAAAUUAUUUUUGUAAUUAAAUUACAUAAAUAUUAAUAAUAAUUUGUCUACACCAUCAAAUGAAAAUAGUUAGCUAUAUAAUCUUUUAUUUAAUAUUACGUAAUAUAUAUAUAUAUAUAUAUAUAUAUAUAUAUAUAUUUUGGUAAUAUUUUAUGAUGUGGGUGAACAAAUUAUUUUCGUAUUUAUGUAAACAAAACAAUAAAAUCUAAAUUAGUUUAAAAUUUGAGAUACUAUAAUCCCAAAAAUAAAACUAAUUGGAAACUAAUCGCAACAAUCAUUCUACAUAAAUGGCAUAUUCUUUACAACAUUACUAAAUCGCAUUUACUGCAUUAUUCGUUUCCAAUUAUGAUUAAAAAUCUUUGAUUAAUUUAAUGGUAUUAAACUCAUAUCUACAUAUACAUUUUUACAGGUUUUUUUUGCUUUUAAUCAUUUGGAUCCGGGUUUUACCCGGUUUAAACCUAUUCGGAUCUAGAAUAAGAGAUUUAAGGAAUAUUGUAAUAAAAACGACAUUUAAGACUAAAUUAAACAUACAAUUCGUUUUAAUCUUAUUUCCUUAACUACUUCCCACAUUAAUUGGUUCUAUUCCUUUUUAUCAAUAGUAGCAUUAAAGAUUUUCCGUUUACGAAUCUUGCAAAAAUCUCUGCUUAGUCCACGAUUAGUUUCUAAAAUAAAAUCUCCGAGACAUUUGAUAGCAUUUAAUUAAUACCAAAUUAUCAUUUAAUUCUACAUAUCUCUAACCAAAAAACCGUCAUUAAUAUAGAUAAUUACACAUAUAUUUAUGUUUCCUUAUUCCUUAACUUCUUCCCAUAUUAAUAGGCUAUAUUACUCUUUAUCUCGAGAUGAUUUUCGAAUAUUUAUGCCAUCUUAACUAAUUACAUCCACAUACCAUAUAUCAUCUAUAUUCUCUUUAUAUUAUGCAAUAAAAUAUUUUUAAAACAUAAUUAUGGCUAAUUAAAUUCUUUCCAUUAUAUGGUUCCCUUCUCUAAUUGAAUCCAUAAUUAUCGCCCAAGAAAAUCUCAACGAUGAUACCAUAAUUAUAUACUCUUCCAUAUUUUUCUUAACAUUUGAUUUUAAGAAACAAAGUUAUGACUAUAAUUAUUUUUUUAAUUCGGUUUAAUGUGAUUUCCUAAACUAAUUACCACAUUAAUCGGCUAUAUUCCUUUUAAAUGGUUGCUUAGCUUUUUUUUAAGAUUCUCUGCAAAACCAAAUGAUUUACAAUCUUUUUCAAAUAAAUUUUGUUAUAUAACGAUUUCCUAAUCUUUCCUUAAACAUAUCCUAAACUUUCAUUGUAUAUAAUAUCUUUGAUUUUCUACUUUCUCUCCAAGAUAUUAUCAAACUACCUUAACAAUAAACCUAGAUGCCUACCUACCCUAUAAAUACCACACUUUUACUCGAUUAGAAAACUCAUCAAACAAAUACCUCUUCUUACCCAUUCCAAUCUUUAUUUGUUAUAUGAACUUUCAUUUUUCUGAUUCAUGAAUUUAAUAAACAUUUGAUGUCUUGCGCAGAUAAUCCUAUACAAGAUGAGCAACCCAUUGAUGAUUGCCAUUAUCAAGAGCAUAUGCUUUUAAUUUACGUCAGAUUCUUUCAUAUGGUUAGUUUUUUUUAUUCACCCUAUUUUUUCUAGGUAAAUCUUCAUGUUUAAUGAUAAUCUUAAUAUAUAUAUAUAUAUAUAUAAGAUAACUACAGUUUGAUAGCAUUGAUUUUUAAAAAACUUAAAAGAAAAAAUAAAAAACGAAAAUACAAACUAUAACCCAAAUGUUUUGAAUUCCACUCAUGCUUACAAAUGAGAUCAACAAUUUCAUACAUCCAAAUUGUAAGACACUAGAUGUUAACCCGCGGUACACCGCGGAUCUAUAUUUUUAUUAGAAAAAUUUAUUAAAUUUUGUUUUAAGAUAAUCUAUAGAUAUAUACUAUUGUUUUGUUUAAUUUAAAUGUAUAAUACACCGUGAGACGAAAUUUUAUUACAAAAAUUGAAAUUUUAUAGAUAGACGUAGUAUAAAAACAAUAGAUUCAAUUGUAUGAUUUUGAAUAAGAUGCUGAUUUAACCCGUCUUAUACUGAUUUUACCCGCGGUAUACCGUAUGCUAAAUUUUAAAUAAUAAAAUGAGGAUUUAAUAUGUGUUAUUGCGAUGUAUUAGUGAUAUUUUAAAUUUAUAUUAAUAUCAAUUAUAAAUAAUAAGCUAUGUCAUAUAUAAUUGAUUGUAAAUUUUAUUACUAUAAUAAUUCUUAUUAAAGUAUACUUAUUAAACUCAUAAACUCUAAUUUCUAUAGUAUAUAGUAUAAAUGUGGAUCCAAAUAUUUAAAAUUUAUUAAAAAUUAAAUAUUAUGAUUAUUUAAACUUUUUUAAAAGUCUAACUUUAUUAAACGUUUUAAUUAUUUAUAAUAUUAUAACUUUUAUGAAGUUUCAAAUAUUAUAAAUAUUUGAAUUUUAUAAGAAUUUAUAAGUAGUUUAAACAUUAUAAAUAUUUAUAAAAGAUAUUAAUACGAGACGGUAUACUACGGGUGAAAUCCUAGAUAUAAAAAUCAAAAUACAAUUAUGAAGUUUGGGUCGUAUUAAAACUUUUAUGAAGUUUCAAAUAUUAGAAAUAUUUGAACUUUAUAAAAAAAUUACAAAAAUGAUGUUUAAUUUCACGGGACGGAGUUAUAUAGUGGGACGGAUUUAGAUCGAUAUUAAUACGGGAUGGCAUAUUACGGGUGAAAUCCUAGAAUUAGCGAUCAAAAUACAAUUAUACAAUCUUAAACACUAAAUAAAACAAAUACAACUUAAAUUUUGAUUUUUUAGUUAUAAAAUAUUGACAUGCGGUUUACCAUAUUAGUAGGGGAAAUUCUAAAAAAAUCAUUUUUUAAUUUAGGGAAAAUAUAGACCCGCGGUGUACCGCGGGUUAAUAUCUAGUAUAAAAUAUAAAAUAUAGACGUUUAUGUAAGACGUUAAAAUAUGGGAAUGAAAUCUCCAAAUACUAUAAAACAAUUAUCACUUAUAUUAUAGUAAAGAAAAAAAAAGCAAUUCUUACCUAAUAUAUUAAAUAUAUACAGAUGUUUAUGGUAAGACCGUAAAAUAUGAGAAUGAAAUCUACAAAUAGAAAUGAAUUAUCACCUAUUUUAUAGUAAGAAGAAAAAAGCAAUUUUCACCUUAGUAUUAAAUAUAGAAUACAUACGUUUAUGGUAAAAUAAUAAACUACGGAAUGAAAUCUACUAAUAUAAAGCAACUAUCACCUAUUUUAUAGUAAGAAAAAAAGAAAGUAAUUAUUACCAAGUAUUAAAUAUAAAAUACAGAUGAUAAGGCCGUAAAAUCAGGGAAUCUCCAAAUUUAACUCCUUAAUCAAAGGUUUAGUUGACCGAAUCAUUAACUAAUAAAUUUGAUUAUUGACCGAAUCAUUAACUAAAAAAAAAAAAAAAAGACGUAAUCAGGUAAGAUUUUUGACAGGUGUGAACCAUUGAUUGGACAUGUGUAUUAGCAAAGUUGUUGGCCUAUCUCACCACCUCACGCUCUAUUUAUAUAAAAAAACCAAUCCUCUAUCUAAUCUUCAACUUCUCCUUUUAAUUCAUUCAUAUACAUAACAAAUUUUAGAUCUCUUCCGUUCUCUUAUUUCGUUUCAAGCUCUGCCGAUGGAUAACCGUCGUCAAUUGCCGCCGAUGAUGACCAGUCGUAUUGAGAGGAUUAGGCCUCCUUGGUAAGUAAUUUAUACCUUACUACUUGUUUUAGUCAAAACAAAAUGAACUUAUUUGUUCCUUGUAAUUUUUCUAACAAUUGUUCUGAACUUCGGAUUCUUAUUUCAAAAUCAUCACUCCUUUUUUUUUCUUGUUUCAAAAAAAUUAAAAUAAAUAUUGAUCUAUUAUCCAACUUUUUUUCUUCUGAUUCUGUUGUUUUAGAUACAAGUCUAACCAUCAUUACUCUUUUCCCUAUUUGUUUGUCACUUCAAGCCCAACAAAGCCCACCGAAUCUCAAAAUCGAAACCAACCUAAAGUGAGUUUCCAAAAUCGAAACCAACCUAAUUCUCAACAUUUCAACAAUGGCGGCGGCGAGUUCCAGGAGAUUUCAAUCUCUCAUGCCCGAAAUCGGCGAAAUCGUUAUGGUGAGAGUCGUUAAUCAAGAUGACGUUGGAGCAGAUGUCCGUCUCCUUGAGUAUUCCGACAUUCCCGGCCGGAUCCAAGAGGUCGCCGAAUUCGUUCUCCAUCGGGAAGAGCCCGCUGUCGUCAUAGCAGUAUCUCCUUUAGUGGUACUAAGCAGAGAUGUUGGUUUUGAUGACAGAUUCCUUUGCUCACAAAGGUAUCUUGAAGGAAGUUUCGUUAUCUGGGUACUCAGAUCUGUUGCUAUAGAUCUAGGAAGGGAUUUGCUGGUAAGAGACGGAUUCUCAACAAAAAAUCUCUGUUUUUCUUAAGAAGAUUGAUGAUGUUGUUCUUAUGUUCAUUUUUCGUCCGUUAAUUUUGUAGAGUAUUCAGGUUGAGACGCAGUGGCCUUCUUACGAGCUCUUGACACAUAGAAGAGUUUUAAAAAAGCUUCCGGUUGGAGUAUCGCCACAAGUGCGAGAGAGUCUGAUUCAAAAUCUGUCUAAAAUCAGACUUGACACGUGUAGAAUCAACGAUCCCACUCUUUUAACGCCAUGCCCUGCUAACCAGACACGUGAGGAUUGUUGGGCACAUGCUCUUACAAGUCAAUUGGAAGCUAACCUAAAGAGGAGUGGAAAGAUGCCGAGAGAUGAUUAUCUUAAGGCAGAGGAUCUCUUCCUUAAAACACCUUCAAAGGAUGAGGGUGUCAUUGAAUCUAUAACAGAUGCGAGCCAUGCUCUUACGGUUGUUGGGAUCGAGUCUAAAAAAGGAGUGGUAAUUGUUUCCUUCUCUUUGUUGUUGUUAGUGAAAAUUGUUUAUUUCUCUUUUUGUUUUUGGUUUGUGAAUAAACUUGUGAUUUGCAGGUUUAUAAAGCUAUUUCAAUAUCAGUUGAGAAUGAAGUUGACCUUCAGCCUGAAAGAUGGGACACUUUACUUGAAGAUUUGGCAAAAGAUGAGGUUCCAGUCACCGUCACUGUAUUGUGGUUUCCAAGUUACGAGCAUCGUAACGGAGAUGUAAGUAAUUUUCGUUGAUUAAUUUUCGUAGAUUAAUUUUCGUUUGUGACUUUAAUUUUUCUUUUUUUUUCCUGGUAGGGAAUAUACAAACCAACUGAUGAUGAAUGGGAUACUUUUAAAAAUAAUCCCGACUUUUAUAAAAAGACUCUUACUCACAGCAUGCUAUUGACAGGUAUGUUCAACAGCUAACUUGUUACGGGAUUAAAUUUUGCAUUUUUUUAAUGAUGAUGAUUAGUAAUUAACAUAAACAAAAGGAAAUUUAUCUCUGUAUAAUGUUAAUUUGAAUUUUUUUUUGUUUUAUAGGGGCUGGUACAGAUGAAAUUGAUGGGACUCCGUACUUCGAGAUGCAGGAUAGUAACGGAGAUGUUGACCAUGGAGACCGUGGUUAUCUCCGCUUCGCCCGCCUUCCAUACUCUCUGGUGCUCGAGUAUGUUGAGAUGGUGGUAUGUCUUUUACUUUAUCAUAAAAUGUAUUAAUAUUCUUACGGAAAUUAGGUGGCUGAGGUUUCGUUUGCAACAAUGUUCUUAUUGAUCUUCAUGACCACUUUGGUUGUAUAGAAAUUAGAAAAUUAACCUUUAGUUUGUUGUCGUAAAUUUGUCACACUUCUGUGAUGAUUAUUUGUACUGAUACUCCAUAGUUACGUUCAUUUUUAUAUUACUAUUUUCCUGUGAAAUAAAUACUGAUAUACUACUUUCCUUUUUCUUUUGACAGGUAUGAUCUCUCAACAGAAGUUUGUCGUCCAUCCGCCAUUUCACAUGUUUCUCACCCCUCCUCCUCCUACUUUGAUCUUUUAUCUAUGUUUGUUAAACCAUGUCUAAUAACUUUAUUGCCUAUUGAGUGUCAGAUGUUAGAGUCAUUGUUUGUGUUGUUGUUGUACUCUGUUUUAGCAUCUAUUUUGUGAAGGAUCUAAUAUCUUUAUAAGAGUGAAUUUCAAAAACUAGAACGCAAAAGACAAAAAGCUAUGCUCACUAAAUUGACCUUUUCUUUUUUUAACUAACAGACAUGAGAGUAGUAGAAACACACACAGCUUUUAGUCCAUUCUGCUACAACAAAUUCAAGCAUUGCAGGGUCGGUGUUUCUUCUCAUCAGAAUCAUCUCAGUCUCGCUAAUUCAUCUUCUUUAGUCUUAUCUUCUUCAGCAGAAACAUCUACUAAAAUGCCUACUCGUUGAGUUAGAAAGUAUAUGAUUCCUGAGAACACGGAUAUGGACAAAGACUUCAGAGUACUACAAAAGCUUGUUUCCUCUAAUUCUAAAACUUGUCAUUGACUCAUUGUAAGUGUAGAGAUAUAUGUAAACUCACUUUACCAAAUGUAUCAAGCGAAUGGGAGAAAGCGGAUAUAGAAUAAUAUCAUCAUUAGUGUUUAGGGGUUUUGUAAAAAGAAAAACUACUUGAAUUCUAUGUCUUCAAACUUGACACCUUCAACGGGUGUGUAACACUCGCUCGAAAGAUACAAGGAGGCCAUAUUCCAAGGCUAGCUUUCCGAUUACAAGUUCAUUCCACCACAAAACUGAUAAGAGGGAUACAGAAUUUGUAGAAACAGAAAAAAAAAUGACUGAGCCUCAUGAAUGAACCUGAAAAUGAAAGAGCAGUGUUGCUCUUUAUAAGCACGGACAAAGGAAACAAAUUCCUUUAAUCCCGCCAACACUGGCUCGGUCCUUCAAGGCAGCUGAACGUAUCUGAACACAUUGUUGUAGUCUUGUAGAUAUUAGUAAGCGUUGUGACCAACAGAGAGAGACAGACAGAUGGAGGUUUUAUUACAAUCGGGAUGACAUCGGAUGCGUCCUCAGAUCAUUUUGUCUCUCUUCCAGAGGGACUCUUCUUAUGCGGAUAAACUCUACAUAGGCUUCCUCCUACGCACAUAUGCAAGUGAACUUUUAAGCUUUUCAUGCUCUGUGAUGUAACUAUGGAGAACGUGGGGGCACAAGAGAACAUGAAGUGCUCAAGGCUAAACAUGGGACAGUAAAAACACAAUGGCCCUCCUUUGUCUUCCCAGCCUUGCAGUUCUGCCGGCCCUGUGGUUGAACAUAUUUUGGUCUUGUGGUGGGAUCAUACUGCAUGAACAUGAUCGAACCUCUGAAUCAUAAACAUAGCAACAAAGAUGGCAAAACAAUAUGGAAACAAACAUUACUGAAUCUAGAUGAACUACAUAAUCAAUGCCUGGAAUAUCAAGUCUGUGCACAGAAGCUAAUGAAUGCCUUGCCUCUUGCAUUCUGAUGUGUAAAGUAUAUUUCAUCAAAACCUCUAGUAACAAUAUGGACUUGAGAGUAGGAAUUUUUGAAAGUAGGAGCAGAUACGUCUUAGAUAACAUGGGAAUAGCAUCAAAGUCAGCCAGUAAUCAACAGAAGCACAGGACAUGAAGAGAAUCUGCAGAGUUACAUUAGACUACAUAUGAAGGAUGCUUCAUUUUAAAAGUCGGUGUGGAAUGUUUUUAAAACUUACACUAUAAGCUUUUUUAUUACUGUUCUUGAUGAGGAGAUCCACUAGUUGUGAUGAUAUCUUAUCUGCUUCGCACUCCAUAUACUGUAGUAGAGACAAGGAGAAGAAAAACGCAUAAGUGAGGAAAUAUAAGAUAUGAUAAAUAUCAGGAAACUUGCUUGCUACCAAGAGAAGGACAUACAAUAGAAGAGAAAUCUUCAUAAAUCAGGUCACGGUCGCUAAAUGAUAAUGCAGGAUACAAAAGAAAAACUUGCUACCCCGAAACAUACUAUGUAUAUAUUGAACUUAUAAUAUGUACCUCAAGAUGAAGACCAGAAAGGGGUUUUCGAGUUUGUCAAUUGCUGGGAUGAUUCGGACUUGGACUCAGCUCGAACUUUAACUCGCACAGGGUUCCUAAGCCCCAGCUCUGUUUGUGCUCCUCUGCUUUGGCAAGCGUGAGAUAUAAUGUAAUUCACCAAAUUGAAUUUAGAAUAAGAAUCUUGAUAUGCAAAACGAGUCAGUUUAAGUAAGAAACCAAACUUGCAAGUUGUUCAGACAACAUAACAAUAUCCAGCUAUAUAGAUAAUAGAUUCAACAAGAUCCAUCUUAAAAUAUAUAAAUCCCCGAUUAAAGAAGAAAACUACCUCGUUGAUUUCGAAAAUCUAUUCGUUCCAUUAUAUCUGAAAGCCUUCCAGGUGUACCGAUCUGCUUUCACCUCUCCGCUUCCAACAAGUAACAGAGAGUUUCACAUUUGCCAAAGUGCAGAGUAAAGGAAUCGUCGCGGCCUGAACUGGAGUGCAAAAAUCGAUAUUGGAUUGAUCAAGCGCCUCAAUAAUAAUAAUAUAUCUCCGGAGAGUGGAGGUUCGAGGUCGGUGAAACACGUCGCCGUUGAAGCUUUGUUUGUGUUCGCCGACGAAUCCAAAACGCGGCGUAUCGAUCGAUUCGGUUCGGUUUAUGUUUGAAUUUUACGACCCGUACUUAGAUGCUGAACCGGUGACCAAUUGGUUCCCGGUUUUUCUCAAAAAAAAGCAUUUACUGUAUAUGGAAAAUAAAUGUUUCUUUCGGCCCAUUUGUUUUUAGCUAUCAAAUCUCUUGGUCCUCGCCACUUGCAUUAUUUUAGAAAAAUCACCAAUUGGGGACAAAGGAUAUAUGGUCACCAAUAAUUUUGUAAGUUGUGUGGUACGAAUAAACUACAUGUAGCAUCAUUAUCAAAAAAAAAAAACUUAAGUACUUAUGAUUUAAUUGUGUUUAUAAGUCAUUUUUCAACAACAUUGUAAUUGAAUCUCAGUGGUAGUACAAAUAUGUAAUGUUUUACCAAAAAAAAAAAAAAAAAAAAUUAAAGUAAUACAAAACAUAUUUAAAACCGUUAUGAUUUUGUAUGAUUUUUGAAAACAUAUGAUUUUGUAUUACUAAAAACCGUUAUAUUGUAUAUAUACUUGUUUGGUUUUUCUCCACUUCUUCAUCUGAAGGAUAUCUAAGUAAACUCCGAUCGCCGUGAACUUCACUUGAAGAAAGUGGAUCUCAAUGUCAGUGAUCCCUUUAACAAGAAUAUAAAUAAUCCACAGGACAAUUAUUACCUGGAAUAUUAUUGCAUUAUUUAAGGUAUCUAACAUUAUGAAAUUGCAAAACAGAAAAUCUGUUUUUGUCUUAGAAAAGGAACCUUGGCCCAGAAGAGAAAGUGACUUGGAAGUGAUCAUUAUCUGUGGUCUGUGGAGGUUAAGGAACCUCGUGAACCAUUACCAUCUCUGUUCCCACUGUUUGAUAAACAACAAACACAAAAGAAAAUUAAGAAACGGUUGGAAACAACAUUCAAUUGAAAAAAAUAUAUGAGAAACUCGUUACAACUUACUUUAGUGGUGAAAAUUUGUGAUUAAAAACAACGCAAAGAGUGUAUUAAAAAAAUACGCCCCAAUCUUAUGUGGUUGCAUACUAAUAAUCCUUAUCUUCGGGUCCAUUGGGUUAUGUUACAAAUUGAUUUGCUAACUAAUCUUCCUUCAAUCAAUGUGUUUUGGACAGAGAAUUUCAAAUCUAGGUUUUCACUACAAAAGCCUCCAAAGAGACUUAAUGAUGUUCACGUAAGAAGACAUGCAUUAAAUUAAAAUUGAGAGAAAGAGAGAGAGAGAGAGAGCAAAGACUGCAUGCAGAAGGGAUUGGUUUGCAUUGGAUUAUUAAGGAAACAAAAAUUAAAUACAGAAAUCCCCAAAACCCAUCUUUAAUUUGGCUGAUACCAAAUAAAAAAAAAACUUGGGAAUUUCUCACAUUCAGUUAAGAAUUUAUAGAAUCUUUGAAGAAUUUUUUUUGUAAAGAAAGGCUUUAUGUAUGGGUUUUUGAGGCAAGGAGAAAACAGAAAAUGCAGAGGGAGAGAAUGAUUAGUCAGGUUCAUUGCAUUCCCUCUGGUGAUCAUAUUCUCAUGACGGCUUCUUCUUCUAAACACAUUUCUCAUAUCAGAUUCUACAAAGCCUGGAAGGGUAACAGUGUAAUAUUAUUUUCUUUCGUCUCUCAAACCAAUUCAAUGUUCUUUAUUACAACUAUUCAUGAAAUUGUCUCUUAAUGACAAUAUUAGAUGUUUUCUUUCUUGUUCCACAAGAAUGUGAAGAUUAUGUUUGGUUUUUCUCUUUAUUUCAUCAGAGAUUUUGCUGUGGUGGUAGAGCUUCUUUCAACUAUACAUACAAGUCAUUGCGUAUUGUGGUCUUCCCCCUUAACCACUCGGACAAACCUGCUUGUCGUUAAUAAACUCUUCAUAUUGUAUUUUAUAUACGCCGCAAUCUUAUGUGGUUGCAUACUAAUAAUCCUUCCUUAUCUUCGGGUCCAUUGGGUUAUUGUACAAAUUGAUUUGCUAACUAAUCUUCAAUCAAUGUGUUUUGGACAGAAUUUCAAAUCUAGAUUUUCACUACAAAAGCCUCCAAAGAGACUUAAUAUCCAUAUUAUCACUAAACACAAACAAAGGUUUAGCAAAGUUUCAGCUACCAACGAUCAAGAAAAACAGGAUGAAACGCCUGAGAAAAAAAACAGACCAACUAAAACUGGCUCACUCGCUAGUUCUAGAUUUUAAGUACCAAAAGACAUCAAAGUUCUAGAGUAGAUAUUAUAGAGAGUAGUCAUCAAGCUGCUUCUUCUUCUUUUUAAGCAGCUGCACUGUGUUUGGCCUUUUGUGUGAGACUGCAAUCCCAUUUCCGAAGUGAAGGUUCUGGUGCACGACUUGCACCCAAAUGCUCCUGCAGACUUCGGUGUCUGCUGCUGCUUCGAAGUCUCUCCAAUGCUGCUUCCACCAGAAUUCUUACCCGCCUGUUUUGAUGGAUGAGGAGUUGCAACAUGGACAUGCGGUUUCUUCGAAUCUGUUUUUGUCAGUGUUUUAAAUUUAACAAAUCCAUCUUCCUUUCUUUUGUAAAAAUAAGUAUUCAAUAGGGAGAUUGAUAAAAGGAUUAAUCACCUGUUUUCUGAGGAGUUUCAAACUUAGCCUUCUUGUUGGGAGCAGGGUUCUUGGAGGAGUUAGCUUCUGCAGAUCUCUUCUUGGAUGCUUCAGGCUUUUAUAAACCAAGAAAAAUUAUAAUCAGAUCCGAGUUUGACCACAGAAGCAGCGAAAUUGAUCCCAAAAGAAGGGUAAUAAGACAGAACAAACAUAGGCUUCCCAUCAAGAAGCACAUAUAAAGAGACUAUCAUGUUACCUUCUUUGGGGUCUCCUCCUCUGAUGAGUCAUCUACUUCGUCGUCUGAUGAGUCAUCUUCAUCAUCUUCCUCACUGUCAGGUUCAGCAGUAAGCUUCUCUUCCUGAAACAAAGCAGCAAUGAUAAGGAUUAAAGAAUUGUGAGAAUGGGCUAAAACACUGUUUAUAGGUUUAAUUAACAUGUCACUGAGCCUAAAGAAAAUUGAAAAUUGAGCUAAUAGUAUAUAUACAAAAGUACCUCUUCCUCUCCAGAGUCUUCAAAAUCACAAUCAUCAUAAUCAUCAUGACCAUCAACAUCAAUAACAUCAUCUGAAGGACACAUCAAUUUAUGAGAGAAUGAUAUACUUAAAUAAACCAAAAUCAGUUAACUGGGGACAAAACAUAGCAGGAGUGGAUAUAAAGCUGCAUUUACGUUGGUCAGGCGUAGAGAGACAGAAAAGAGAGUCAAGGAACUCAAAAAAAAACAGAGCAAAACAACAAUUCCCCCAAAUCAUAUUCAUCAACAAAGCUUGUAGAGUGUUUAAGCAAUAACAACAAAUGUUCGACUAGUAGUAAAGGAUAUGGAUCAUAUUUGUAACCAGAGAAGAAAACGCUCCCAUUCUUCCAAGUAUGAGACAGCGAAAAGUGCCUUUCCAACACAAUCGCCGUAGCCAGCUGAGGAAACCUCUCAUGAGAUAGCGUUCCAAUGAGACGCUUAGCCGAUCCAACUAUCAGGUAAAGCUGGAUUGGUUCGGUUCCAUUGUUCUGAUUCUCUCCUAAAGCAACCUUCAAUAAACAAAACGUCACUGUAAAAUAUAAUACCUUGUUAUAAAUCAAAUCAAACCAAAUCAAGCUUGCAAUUCAAAAGUACCUGAGAGAUGAAAUGUACGUAGGGCUGGUCGUCCCUAGUUAUAAGAGGCCUGCCUUCACCAGGAUAGAUAUGAUGCGCUGGGCCAUUCCUAACUUCAACACCUGCAAACGAAAAAAUCAGUAAGUCAGCCACAAAUCCUAGAAACUGAAUUUUGUUUUCGAUUUCAGUAACGAAAACCUAGCGAGAGUGAAAAAGUCUCCAGUUUUCCCCAAUUUUCUACGGAGUCUAUUCACUAAAUAUGUCAAUGUCAUACAAACUCACUAAUCUCGUCUCUCGUUUAGCUAUCAGACGAUUCCAUAGAAGAAACAGUAGAAAAACAUGGAAAAAUGAUGAAACCAGAAGAUUUAGAAAAAAAACCCUAAAUGCAGGAAGCGAAGCGCAGAGAACGAAGAAGAAGAAAGAAGUAGAAGAAGGAGAAGAAGGAAGAUAGGAGAUGUUUACCCCAGAACUUCAUUCUCUUAGCAGGCAUUGUCUUGACAGGUAGUGUGACCUGAAGGCUUCGAUGCAUCGAAGAAGAAGGCUCUCGAGCGCAGUUUCUACUUUUAGGGCGGGGAGUGAAGUGAAGGAUAAAAUGUCUGAUGGUAUUUAUUAAUCGGGCCAAGGGAUUUUAGUGAUCCUCUGUUAUGCGGAUCAUCGAAGAUCUCCUUCGUCUGGGCCAUUCUAUUAAAACUAGCCCAACAAAAAAUUGUUUUAAGCCCAUACAAUAUUUUGACGGAUUUUUUAUUUAACGGUGUCAGUGGGCUUUUAAUUAAACCGAACCGAAUGUACCGAACCGAAACCGAAGCAAAAAAAACCGAACCGAACCGUAAAUUUGAAAAUAACCGAAUGGAUACUAAAUUUGAUAACCGAAAUAACCGUAACCGAAUCGGUACCGAACCGAAAUAUUUCGGGUAACCGAAAUACCCGAAAUACAAUUAUAUUUUCGAAAUAAUUAGUUAUUUAUAGACCAAAUAAUCAAAAAUACUUGAAACAUCUAUAAAAAUAGUAAAAAUACUCAAAAAUAACCAAAAAAUAUCCAAAAAUAUUCGAAAAUACUCAAAAAUAACCGAAAUAUCCGAAAAUAUUCUAAGCAAAAUAACCAAAUGGAUACUAAAUUUUAAAACCGAAAGAACCGGAACCAAACCGAAACCGAACCGAAAUUUCAAAAUAUCCGAAUGGAUACUAAAUUUUAGAACCGAAAGAACCGAAAACCGAAUGGACCCAACCGAACGGAUAACCGAAAGCCCAGGCCUAGGUGUCAGGACGGAUCGUAAUAGCAUGUGGGGUCUACAAAUUCAGCCCCACGGGCAAAUGGAGCAUCAUUUACCUUAUUGCCCUCGAUUAAAAGCGUUUAUACAAAAAAAAAAAAAAAACCAGUUAACAAAAAUCUAUGAAGAGUAUACUCCCUCUGUUCUUAAAAAAUUGAUGUUAUAGCUUUGGUUGUUUGUUCCACAAAGAUUGAUUUUCUAGUAUUUUAUUUUAUUUUUAUUGAUUUAUAAUAGUAAAUUGUAAACUUCAAGAUACAAUGAUUAUAAAUCAUUAACUUUCUUAGGCUACUAUUGGUUGAUAAAUAUUUAAAAUAUUUAAAAUUAGAAAUAAUGUUGAAAUGAUUAAACAAUGAUUGAAUUCUUAAUAUGUGUGAAAACUCCAAAACAUCAAACAAUUAGGAACAGAGGGAGUAUAUGAUAACACUAAGUACGGUCCCUACUACGAGUAAUUAUUAAAUGGAUAGUUGCGCGAGUGGGAAUUAAGCAACAGUAGACUGCCAAAUCAUAAAUUAUUCCCAAAUCCCAACUAACUAAUCUUUGUAUUACAUUUUGUUAAACACAAUACAUUUAGAUUAGUUAGACUUAGAACUAUUCGAGGCCUCUUAUGCCUAGAUUUAGAAGAGUUCUUGGCAUGAAUCAUGAACAUUUUUCAUUGCUCUUAAAUUUACAUGACACCAAUUUUCAAGCUCCGGUUUUACAUAUUACACAAAAUUCCGAGUUUUAGCAACAUAUGUGAUUAGAAUACGUAAAAGAUAUACUCAAUUGAUAAUUUUUAACUUAUGCGUAUUAAAUUAUAUGUUUGUGAUUGAAUCUUAAUUAAUAGUCAAGGAGAAAAAUGAAAUUUGCUACGUUUUAGCACUUUCCGGAAAAUACUAGCUUUAAAAGUACGAACAACCUCAAAAAAAAAAAAAAAAAAAAAAAAAGAGUUGAGUGCAUGAACAUGACAGUAUUCGAUGAACCUUAGCGGAUCAAAUGAUAUAAACAUGCAGUAUAUAUUUAUUGUCCAAGCUGCGUUAAUUAUAACUUGAUAAAUAAAUUAAUGACAACUCAUUGACUAUCCGGAAGAAUCUGAAAAUCUUUAGGGAUAGAAGAAUUUGAUCUUGACUGCUGACCUUUCUUUCAUCUUUUCUAACUGGAAAAGCAUAAAAGAAAAAGAAACAUCUUGUUCAUAUGAAAUCAUCUAACGAUACCAUAUUUGAAAAAGACAAAAAAAGAAAGAUAUUUCUUUGUUUGUCAACAUAAAGAAACCAAAGAAGAAAAAAAAAGAGAGAUAAGAUGCAAGCAUGUUGCAUGGCAUUGGUAUAGAAAUCACAUGCAGAAAUACGAAUGUUUGAAUAGACAAAUUUUCCCUAUCAAAUUCAAGUGAUUUUCUUACAAGUGAUUCAAAUUCAAAUUUUUAUUUAUAUAUACAAGUGAUUUUCUUACUCCACCUAGUCGUCGUCUUUGCUGCCUUGAUCAAUAGACAAAUGUUUAGAUAAUUACUAUAUAUCUAAAGGUGAAUGAAAGUCGGAACCAUGUAACGGAUUCAGAUUGGUGCAGAUCAAAUUCCAUAGGUAGAAGAAAUAUUUGGAUUUAUGGGCAGCAUGGUUUAGUCUUUUACACGUGGACAUGUCCUUCUUUUAGCUUUGUUUCCUCUUUGAAUUCGAUUACUAUCUAUUUGGUUUGCUUUAUUCUUUAUCCUCCACCACCAAAACAUUUAUACUAUGUUCGAUUAAUUGUUUAAUCUUAGUCAUUAUUGUUUCCUCUUUGAAUUCGAUUAUUGUUUUAACCGAAGAUUUUGUCUACGUAACUUUUUAAUACUGAACGAGAAUAAUUAGUAAUUAGUAAUUACUUCUCUUUUUUUUUUUUGCAGCAAAGACGACUAGAGUUAAGAGGAGGUGUCCAAACGUAAGGUGAUAUGUAACGGAAAAACAUUCAUUAUGUGUCCUAAGUCCUAACUAUCAAUUGAUAAUUACAAGUUUUCUGACACAUACGUUAGUCAUUCAUUUAUUCCCAUCUAAUAUUAGUUAGGCCCAAAUUCAAAAAUUAAACCCGACCCAUUAACAUUUUUGCAUCAAAAUUUAUGUGACACUAAUUAAGAAUCUAGGAGACUAUGAACCUAUGGUGAGGGAGACGCUUCUGAUUUUUUAUUCAGUUUUAAACCUCACACGCCCGCUCACAGCCUCACCACGCCAUAACGUCGAGAACGAAAUCAUUUUUGGUUUACAGACCACUUAAACAAUUCUGAUUAGCAUUUAAUACUCUUCUUAGAUUUAAUAUAUAUUUUAUUUUUUUCCCCAGUAACAUGUAGAAUUGUAUUCAAACUCAAAUGGCAUUACACGAAAAAAAUGGCACAACUAUCAAAAUAUAUGUUGGUUGCAUCGAUAUUGUGCAAAAUUUUAUAAAUAAAAUGAUAGUGUAUAUGUAUGAUUCCAGUAAAUGAACACCACUACACCAGUAUUAAUGUACUUCCAACUGCUAUAGUGCCAAAAAUCUCGAUUUCUUUCUUUCACCAAUAUCAUCUCUCGGAAAACAAAAUCCUUGUUAAAAUAGGAUACGUAAAAUAUUCUACCCAGUUGUUGUUGUUGUUGUAAAGCAUGAUUUUAGUGUUUAAAUCGAUUAUUAAACGGUAGAUUAAAGUUGAAAACCCUCAACUAUUUCGUGGCAUUCAUACUCAUGAAUUGGCGCUCUACACGAUAUGAAAUUUUUGACUCAUAUGUUGUCAGUAACUGCAGCUUUUAGGGAAGUUUCGUAUUGUUAUAUUAAUCCACCCACCCCACCAAAAUCCAAAAGUGUUUAUCUUCGUCACACCGAAGUGUUACGUUGAUAUAGUAUAAUUAUACGUGUGUGUAUCAAAGAAUCUGCAGCAUCUUUGGUUAUACACAGUUAAACAUUCAUAUCCAAUUCUAUAAUAUAGAAACAUAUUAGACAUGCAUUGAGUCAAAUAAUCUCAAUGAUAUCACCUAGUUUAGUUUCUUAAUUUCCUUUUUAUUUUUGUAAUCUUUUGACUAAAAUAAUGGAAGACGACAAAUAUGGUUGACCUUGUCCGGGUUGGAAAAUGUUACAUAAUUAGAAAGCUUAGGAAUCUUAUGACUUGAGAUACCUUUACACGUAGAAGCUACAAUAUUGGAGCCAAACCACUAUCAGAAUUAUCGUAUUAUUAUUAUCGUGAUUAUUAUUCUAAUCUAUAUAUGUUAAUAUACAUGCUAAUGUUAUUAUGAUUGUAAUUUGUAAAUAUAUACAUGAAUAUUAAUAUUCUACAUGUAAGUGCAAAACUAGGAUGCAAAUAAACGAUGCAGUGACAACAACCAACAUCUUAAUCAUUUUUGUAUAUUUCAUUCACUACCACAAAAAGCAUUUUUCAAACAUAACAUUAUAUUCAAACGUCAGGCGGUUUACCUAAACUGCUAUGUAAACACUUCAUUUCGGUCUCUCCUCAAUCAGACUCAAAACUAAAACUUUGAAGAGGCGACUAUCAUUGUUAAAUCAAAUUGUAUUUCAUUGAUUCAUUCGCCAUUGAAUGACUAAGAUACGUCACACGUGGAUUACUUACGGUUACGAUUAAUUUUCUUAUUUUUUUCUUGGUAAUAUUCUAUGUUUAAAUUUGUCCCAUCAUUUCAUGGGAGUGACUAAUCUUCUUUGGCAUUUUCUACGUAAUCAACGAUUCGAAUAAUAAUCUUCAAUAUAUGCUGCAAAGAGUGUUUCAAAAUUCUUACUAGCAAUUUACUCACACUAACAACUUUUUCCAAUUCUUGACUCCGGCAAGGAGGAGGUUCAUAUCUUUUCUUAACUUCGAAGCUGUUUACCAAUUCAAGUGACCCUAAAUUCAUAAAUAUAAAGAAAAAUGGUUCAAAUCAUUAAUUAUCUUGUUCCUUGUACAUAAAGUAAAUUCACAUAUAUAGUGGCAUUGGCAAUAAGGAUUACCAAAUGUAUAUAAUUUAAUGUGAUAAGCAAAGUUUAACUUAAACAAAAAAAAUUCAGAAAUAAAAUGUUCUUGAGAUUACUAUUAUAAUCUUGUGAUUAACAAAAAAUGUUAACAAACGUGAUUAUAAUCUUGUGAUUUUCCGAUCCUACCAAAAAAAAAAAUCUUGUGAUUUUCCGAAGAGCAUAAGUUUUGUUCAAAUGGCCCAAUAACAAUUUAAAAAUAUGUUAAGUAGUCAGUAAAGAAAUGUGUAAUAUGUUAAGUAGUCAGUAAAAAUAUUGGAGCAGGUAAUAAUUUUACGGAAAAAUUAAUGAUUUGGUCUAUAAACGCAAAGAAAUGUGUAAUUCUUGAGUAAGUGCUUUUCCUUCGUACUCUGUUCUUGAACUUAAUAAGGAAAAAAAGUGCUACCCAUUUUGAGAUUACAUUCUUCUAUGUUGCCUUAAUCCUUCCACUCUAAUUUGAGCUACUGCUCUUUCAGGUUCCUUUGGCAUGGUAAGAACUUUUUUUGUCAGAAUCUUACACAGCUGACUUUUUUACGCUCUAAAAAUUUGGUUGUUACUUUUGAUCUCUUUGGUGUUAAAAAAGACAAAAUCAUUAUAUCCGUGACUGUCAUAAAUUAAACUUCGACAAAAAAGUGUCCCAAAGUUAGAUACUUGUCUUCAUAUCAUAAAUUUGUCUUCCUGUUCGAAUUUUCCAAUUUAUCACUAGAAGAAUUCCGUUUUUGAUUAUUGCAGUAAUAUUCUCUAUCAAUUUCAGUAUGUUGCUGUGAAAAUUCUCAUGGAGCAAGACUUCCAUGCUGAGCGCGUCAAUGAGUUCUUGAGAGAGGUGCAAAACUAAAAUUUGAUCUUGUUUUUAGUAAUAGACUUGGUGUACAAAUCCUUCCAUGAUCUUGAUUCGCUGUCAGGUUGCGAUAAUGAAGCGCCUUCGCCACCCUAACAUUGUUCUCUUCAUGGGUGCGGUCACUCAACCUCCAAAUUUGUCAAUAGUGACAGAAUAUUUGUCAAGGUAUAUAGCUGCCUAGAUUUUGAAGGUUGUAUUUGUAUAUGUUGAGUGUAGAACUUUAGUCUUAAUGACGCUAAUACCAUGCUUUCUUUCAAACAGAGCUAAUUAGAAAGAAAUUAGAUGAGAGACGUCGCCUGAGUAUGGCUCAUGAUGUGGUAUGUCUGAUUUUCUUUAGUCACAUGUAUCAUGUAUGGGUGCGUAUUAAGUUGAUUGCUUUCUGAUCUUGGUGUUUCUUCACAUAGAAUUUAUUUUCCAGUUAUCUGAUGCAGGCUAAGGGAAUGAAUUAUCUUCACAACUGCAAUCCUCCAAUUGUGCAUAGAGAUCUAAAAUCUCCAAACUUGUUGGUUGACAAAAAAAUAUACAGUCAAGGUUUGAAUCGAAAUUAGAAACUGUUGUGUCCAAUGUCUUGAGUUUGAUAUUUUAGUAACAUCAUUCCUCUUCUAGUCUCGUGAGAGCAGCUUAGAUAUUCUAUUUUAAACAUAUUAAAUCAUCUUGGGGACAUUGCAAAAAGGCUUUAACCUGCUGAACUUAAAAAAAACGGCAGUCUCAAACUAUCUCUGGUUUAAGAAUUGUCCUUGAAUAGACUUCAUGAUGCAUAUGUUUCAUUACCAGUGAGCCAUGGAAGCGUCCAUAAUUUUGCAACUAUAAUGGACUUGCUAAGACCAUUGAUAAAAUCAGCGGUUCCUCCGCCCAACCGCUCGGAUUUGUAAGAUCCCCGUCCAUUUGAAAGUUGUUAUAAUCAUGAUAUGCACAUAUACCCUCAGCAUUCGUUUGCUGCCCAGGAGGGCGACACUAGUUUUUUUUUUUUUUUUUUUUGGUAAAAGGGCGACACUAGUUACUUUUGCUUUAAAGGUAACAUUCCACAUGAGCUAUCAAUCAUAUCCUAAACAAUUGCUUGGGUCUUCUAAUACAUGUAUUUUUUUUUUUUGGGAUCUUUGUCUGCUGUUUGUUCCUUUUUUAAAGUUGCAGAUUGUUAAACAUAUACAUGACUAUUGUCACAGGGAGGAAAUUAAAUGAAGUAAUGGAAACAGUGUGGGGGAUAAUCUUAAUCUAUCUAGUCCCAAAGGGUAAGCAAUAUUUUGUUGUUAUUAUUUCUAAUUACAUUGUUGUACAUUAAUACAGCUAAAUUAGUUGCCGAACGAAGCUAAAAAAAGCAGCUGCAAAAUCCUGUUGCAAACUUAAUAUGAUUUACAUACACUGUGCCAUCAUCAUAAGUAACACUCGUAAGAGAGAAAAAAAUAUAUCCCAGAUCGGUAAAACGCAUGGGGACUGAAAAUAUCUGGAUAGUCAACGAUUUUUUGCCUUUCGCCUCUAAGUAAACUUCCCACUCCUGAAAACCGAGUUUACUUGUUUUUUUAAUUAAUUAAGAAAAAUACUAAGAAAAAAUACCAAUAAAGUUGCGUAAAUUAAAAUUAUAGGAGAAAACACAAUAUUAUAUUGCUUAUUUCUUUUUAUGGCUAAAAACGAAUACUCCCAUUAAGGCAUUAACAGUACUUUAAAUCUAACACUAAGAAGAUAAUUUUUUUUUUUUUAACAAAUUGUUUCAACUAAUAAACUACAGUACAUUGCUCUCCCUCUAUAUAUAUAUAGAUAAUUCGAAUACACUCAAUACUAAAAAAGGUACUUCAAAUUUUAUUCCACAAACUAUGAUUAUUUUUUCAUAAGUAUAAAUAGGUCAGGACAAUAAAGCAAGAAAACUCACAAAGGUAAAAACACACCUAAAAAAACUCAUCAAAUCAUAGGAAAGCUUUCCUUGGAGAGAAGUUUUAAAGAACAUUAAGCAGUUCGACAUCAAACACCAGCCAAGCGUCAGGAGGAAUCUUGGUACCAGCAACUUCCGCACCAUACCUACCAUACCUGGGAGCCAGACAAUAUUAUUAUCUAUCUUUAAGAAAUAAGGUUAAAAUAAAAACAUCACAUUUAUGAAAAAAAUAAUAUCAAAAAUGAUUUGCAAAGGCUUUAAUUUACCCGAAUGCUGGAGGAAUGGUAAGCUUUCUUUUGCCACCAACAUACAUUCCUUCAAAAUAUUCAAAAAAGAAAAGAGAUAAAAACAACAUUCUAGAUGAACAUUAUAUAUAGAGAGAGUGAGAAAAAUAAAAAAAGAAGUAAGAAAGUAGCUAGAUUACCAUUAACACCAACAUCCAAUCCCUUAAUGACUUUUCCAACACCUGCAUGCAUGUAACAACAAGCAGAUAAGUAUACUCACAGACUAAUAAAGCUCUUCUUUUCGCAAUCUAGUUAUAAUACCAACCUAGACGAAACUUAUAAGGAGAUUUUCCAACAGUGGAAUCGAAAAUCUUCCCAUUUUCAUGAAGCUUUCCAGUAUAAUGGACAGUAACCUGCACUCAGAGAAAAGAGAAUGAGCCCCAACAUUGACAUCUCUUAUCAGACAUUUGUUUGUUAACUUUCUAUCCAAUAUAAGUAAGGCACUAGUUUGUUCGAUUCUUAUCCAAUGUCAAUUCUUUAAAUGUGCACAUUCUUACCACACUGCCACUUGUUGCAUAAUCUAUGACAUUGCAAGUAAUCAUGUAAGAAAUUUAGGACCGCAUACCCUUUUGCCAGGACCAGCUUUCUUGCCGUUGGGGUUGCCCAUACACAAGUCGUCAACAUUGAGCUCAUCUGGGUCAGGCGUUUGCUUCUCAACACUAGUAGAAAUGGCUUUAUACUCCACUGUAGCUUCCUCACUUAUCUUCUCUUUCUUCUUAGCAGAUUCAGAUGGGGCCAUGGAGCUUUCACUCCUGCAAUAAUACCAAAAGAAAAGAGCAUAGAAAUUUAUAAGAUGGGAAAGAAUUUGAAAGAACCAUUUACGUGUGAGCUAAUAAUUAAUAUCGAAUACCAAUAACAAAUGUACUAACUGAUAUAUCCCAAAUGACAUGACUACUUUUGAUUAUCCCAAAAAGAACAAAGUAGUUAAAUAAUAUUCAGUUUUAAGGCAAAGGAAUGGACUGAAGUCAAGUAGCCAAAGGAAACCUCAAGCUGACUUCUAUUCAUUGUUUUGAAAAGAGUAUGCCGGAGGAUCUUAUAUAUGAAGGAAUUUAGUUAAAACCAUUUCAAUAAGAAAAGCUAAAUUUUACAGUAAUAUUUGAAUUGUGGUUAUAGGAUACAAAAGUGACUGGAGAAGGAUAGAAAAGUUUGUCAGAAAAUAAAUUUACCUGCUUUUUGGAAUGGCUGCAUCCAUGGCAGAAGGAUCUUGGAGAGGAGGAAUAGGUUUACUGAAAUUGACGCGGCGGCGAAUGAGGCGUAUAGGUAUUUCCGGUUUGGCAGUCACCCAAACAGCUAAUUUGCGUCCUCGCAUGUAGCUCCCAUUAAGUUGAGUCACGGUAUCAGCUACGUCUUUUCCGUGAACAAUAGCUGUAACUGAGCUGAAAAAUUAUCAACAAAAUACACAAGUCUGUCGUCGUUAAAAAGUAAUUUUAAAUAAAUUGAAAGUUGGGAAACAUGUUAGAAAGAAGCCACAAACCUCUUCUUGAAAAAAGAGAGGCGUGUGAUAGUUCCAUAUGGAGAGAAAAGUUUAACCAAAGCCCUGGAGAUUUGACUCUUCCUAAGCGAAGUGUCAUAUCCUUCAACUAUUACAAUAACCCUACUGCAGUAAUAGGAUAUUGCCGAAGAUGAUAAACAUUAUUAUUAUCAACAAAUCUUAUUUUUUAAAGAAAUCAGUGUUUACUCGUUUGCGUUUGCCGGAUACGGAUAAGCCUCAACAGAGACAUUCCAUCCUCCCACGUUACUUCCAGUAAGUUGCAAGGCCUUCUCUACUGCGUCUUGUCCCCCCAGUAAACACAUAACACCAUGACUGAAAUAACAACAACAACAACAACAACAAGUGAGCUGAUAUUUAACUUGAGCUGAUGAAUUGGAAAGAAAUGGAGGAGGAAGAAGCCACCAAAACCUGUUGAGACUCGUCUUAGUCUCAUCAAAUUUUAAGGGAAUAUAAAUCUCCCAGAUCUCUCCACAUGAAGAGAAAUGUUCUGCCAACGCCGUGUAGACAUCAUCAAGAGGAAGACCAGUGUCAUAUCCCGUAACCUUAAUCCUCCCAACGUCACUGCAAUAAUAAUACUAUCAACGUGACAUCUGAAAACAUGCAUCAUCUUACACAUGCCAAUUUCUCAAUUUACCUCAGUUUUGGAAUGUUAUUCCGUUUCGGAACCUAAAAAGUACAAGAGAUCAAAUCAGAAACACUACUAACUAACUUGAAGUAAUUUUCUCACAAACUUGUGAAGAAACCAUCAAUUGAGAAACAAAGAUAAGAAACCAGAGUGUAUCAGAAAAGCCAUAAGAGUAGAGUAAGAAGAAGAUUACCAUGGUGGAUGAGUACAUGGCUAACCCUUUUACAGAUUUAUCAAUUUAGGUCUGGUAUUUAUAAUUGCUUUUUUCUUUUGGGCCUUGAAUUUAGUUCUGGCCUGGACUCUAAGGCCCAUAUGGUCCUUCGACGGACUUUUUACCAACACAUACAGAUACAGUAGUACCCUUUUCAUGUUUUCGUGUCUUAAAUUUUUUUUUUUCCUAUUAAGAAUCUUAUGAGUUUCUUGAAGCUCUCUGUUCCAAUGUCCCUCAGUCCUUUGUCCAACCCUCAGACAAACUUUUGAAAGAAAGAGUUAGUGGUGUUUUGCAGAAACGGCAAUACGUAUUUUGCCUUUCAUGUUAUGUAAAAUUAUCAUUACAUCAAAUGGUUCUAAACUUUUAAAAAUCACAAGAGAACCAACCCUCAGACGAAACUUUUAGUUUUUAUUUGUUUUUAUCAUUAACCUAAAUUAUAUGAGUUCGUAUAUAUAUUUAAAAAACGAACGAUUGGGCGUUGAAUAUAUAUAUAUAUAUAUAUAUAUAUAUAUAUAUAUAUAUAUAUAUAUAUAUAUAUAUAUAUAUAUAUAUUAAACUAAAAGUUAAUCUAACUAAAAGUUAAUCUAACUUCUUCAAUUGACUUCCUUUUUCUUCUUAGAAGAUUUGUCUGGUGUUUUGGAGCUUUCACUACUGUAAUAAUACCAAAAAAAAAAAAACUGAGAAAUUUAUAAGAUACGAAAAAGUUUGAAAGAACCAUUAUUGUAACACGCAUGAAGACAUCUUUACUUGUGAGAUAAUCAUAUAAAAUCUACUACUAAUAAAAGGAACUCAUAGCCUCUCAAACCAUCCACAUCAGUUUAGUUGAGAGUCUUUUUCGUGUUGCCAUGUCAGCAAAUUGAGCCACAUCAGCUUAUUUAAAGACUAUAUAUACAAACUUCCGCCACGUCAGCAAGCUUUAAUUGGAUUCAGUCUUAGGAAGGUCUCGAGGGAUUAGAGGACAGCUUUAUUUAACAUUAAGCAGCUCGACAUCAAAGACCAGCCAAGAGUAAGGAGGAAUGCUACCAGCACCUUCCGCACCAUAGCUGUAGGCCAGACAAUUUUAUCAUCUCUCAUUAAAAAAGCUUAAAAUAGAACAUCACAUUACCAAAGAAAGAUAGAUAAGAGAUGAUUUGCAAAGGCUUUACCCCAUUGCUGGAGGAAUUGUAAGCAUUCUUUUGCCACCAACACGCAUUCCUUUGAAAUUUACAAAAAGAGAUCAAAACAACACCAUUUGACCAUAUUUAGUGAAGAAAUACCAGUAAGAAACUAGCUAGGUUACCAUUGACGCCAACAUCCAAUCCCUUAAUGACUUUUCCAGCACCUGUAUGUGUAACAGCAAGCACAUAAGUAUCCAAGUACCACUCACACACUAAUAAAGCUCUUACUUUCGCAUCAAGUUAUAAUACCAACCUAGACGAAACUUAUAACGUGAUUUUCCAACGGUGGAAUCGAAAAUCUUCCCAUUCCCUUGAAGCUUUCCAGUAUAAUGGACACUUACCUGCACUCAGAGACAAUAGAUUGACCUCCAACAAAUAUUUGCACAAAAACUCCAACAGUUUAGGACUAAAUGUUCAUACCCUUUUGCCAGGCUCAGCUUUCUUGCCGUUGGGGUUUCCCAUGCAUAACUCUUUAACAAUGAGGCCAUCUAGGUCAGGCGUUUGCUUCUCAACACUACUAGAAAAGGCUUUACUCUCCACUGUAGCUUCCUCACUUAUCUUCUCAUUCUUCUUAGCAGAUUCAGAUGGGGCCAUGGAGGUUUCACUUCUGCAAUAAUACCAAAAAAAAAAGAGCAUAGAAAUUUAUAAGAUGGGAAAGAAUUUGAAAGAACCAUUUACUUAUGAGCUAAUAAUUAAUAUCGAAUACCAAUAACAAAUGUACUAACUGAUAUAUCCCAAAUGACAUGACUACAUUUGAUUAUCCCAAAAAGAACAAAGAAGUUAAAUAAUAUUCAGUUUUAAGGCAAAGUCAAGUAGCUAAAAAAACCUCAAGCGCUAAAUUUUACAGUAAUAUUUGAAUUGUGGUUAUAGGAUACAAAAGUGACUGGAGAAGGAUAGAAAAGUUUGUCAGAAAAUAAAUUUACCUGCUUUUUGGAAUGGCUGCAUCCAUGGCAGAAGGAUCUUGGAGAGGAGGAAUAGGUUUACUGAAAUUGACGCGGCGGCGAAUGAGGCGUAUAGGUAUUUCCGGUUUGGCAGUCACCCAAACAGCUAAUUUGCGUCCUCGCAUGUAGCUCCCAUUAAGUUGAGUCACGGUAUCAGCUACGUCUUUUCCGUGAACAGAAGCUCUAACUGAGCUGAAAAAUUAUCAACAAAAUUCACAAGUCUGUCGUCGUUAAAGAGUAAUUUUAAAUAAAUUGAAAGUUGGGUAACAUGGGAGAAAGAAGCCACAAACCUCUUCUUGAUAAAAUAGAGGCGUCUGAUAGUUCCAUAUGGAGAGAAAAGUUUAACCAAAGCCCUGGAGAUUUGACUCUUCCUAAGCGAAGUGUCAUAUCCUUCAACUAUUACAAUAACCCUACUGCAGUAAUAGGAUAUUGCCGAAGAUGAUAAACAUUAUUAUUAUCAACAAAUCUUAUUUUUUAAAGAAAUCAGUGUUUACUCGUUUGCGUUUGCCGGAUACGGAUAAGCCUCAACAGAGACAUUCCAUCCUCCCACGUUACUUCCAGUAAGUUGCAAGGCCUUAUCUACUGCGUCUUGUCCCCCCAGUAAACAAAUAACACCAUGACUGAAAUAACAACAACAACAACAACAACAAGUGAGCUGAUAUUUAACUUGAGCUGAUGAAUUGGAAAGAAAUGGAGGAGGAAGAAGCCACCAAAACCUGUUGAGACUCGUCUUAGUCUCAUCAAAUUUUAAGGGAACAUAAAUCUCCCAGAUCUCUCCACAUGAAGAGAAAUGUUCUGCCAACGCCGUGUAGACAUCAUCAAGAGGAAGACCAGUGUCAUAUCCCGUAACCUUGAUCCUCCCAACGUCACUGCAAUAAUAAUACUAUCAACGUGACAUCUGAAAACAUGCAUCAUCUUACACAUACCAAUUUCUCAAUUUACCUCAGUUUUGGAAUAUUAUUCCGUUUCGGAACCUAAAAAAGUACAAGAGAUCAAAUCAGAAACACUACUAACUAACUUGAAGUAAUUUUCUCACAAACUUGUGAAGAAACCAUCAAUUGAGAAACAAAGAUAAGAAACCAGAGUGAAUCAGAAAAGCCAUGAGUAAGAAGAAGAUUACCAUGGUGGAUGAGUACAUGGCUAAAAUUUGUUCGACAAGAGCGAGACUCGAUAACCGUUUUAGGGAUUUAGGUCUGAAGAGGGUAUUUAUAAUUGCUUUUUCUCUUUUGGGCCUUCCAAACAAUUUUGAUAACAAAAUAAUGUUUAAAUAUUAGAGAGACUCUUAAAAAAGGAGAGAGUUGAUCCAAAAACUCUUAGCUAAGAACCAUUUUUCUUAUUUUAAGCAUACUUUCUUAUUUUUUUAUUAUUAUUUUGUUUAAUAUAAUAUUUUGAUAGUUCUUGUGAUAUUUUUAAAAACCUAUUGAUAAAGAUGCUCUUAUGAGUUUUGUGAAGCUCCCUAAGACAAAAUUCCAAACCAAGUAAAAUAAAAAAAAACUUGUAAAUAAAAUCAAAUUUCGAAAUGUAAAAUUUGAUCUCGUAUGUGUUGUGUAAAAAAAGAGAAUCAAAUAAUUUUGCAGAAAGUAAAAGCCACUCAUCAAAAUCAUAAUGGUCAACAAGUGGCGCCAAAGUAGGCAUCGCUUGAAUCUAAUGAUCGAUUACUCUCAAUCUCAAAAAAAAAAAAAAAAAAAAAAGAUAACAACCGUUAAAUACAAAACUAUUCUCAAAAGUAAUAAUAUCUCCCUCUUCAUCAUCAUUGUGUUUCCCUCCCUAUUUUUGUUCCUCAUCUUCACCAUAUUGGUUUUUUGUGACAUCAAGACUGUGAAAUUUGAGAUUCAAGAUUUGUGUUUUUUUUUGUAGUGUUGAGGAAUGAGGAUGAGAGAAUAAGAUUCCAAUUGUAUUUAUAGUUUUGAUUUCCCCAAUUUACCUUGAUAGAUUUCGAAAUUUUUAUAGUUUUUCUGGCUUGAAAUAACGAGAGAAAUAAGAAAUUAUAUUGUAUCUUCUUAAUGUUUCACUUAAUUAAUUUAUUCUUUAUAUAAACUAAUAAAUACACUUUGAUAUGCUUACUUUUACUUAAUUUUUCGUUUAACUGCACCAAAUUAUGUGUUAUUUUUGGGAUUUCUGCUUUCUAAUAUACUACACUUUUGAUAUGAAACCUAUAUAUCCACCGCAAAUUCACUUUUUCUGUAGUGGACAUAACACGAAUUCACGAAGUAUUUUGUCGUUUGUUUGUUAAUUCAAAAGUAUCUCAUGCCACAUCUUCUUCACAAAUUAUGUGAUCACAAAGGUUAUUAUGGUCGCUUGGAAAAUGUUGCAAAUCUAAAAUAGCACAUUCACAAAACUCACGUUGCAAAACAUGAGCAAUCCAUAACAAGCUAUUCUUUAUAAUAUUCAUCAUCAUGUAAAAAUUGGGCUUAACUAACACAUCUCUAAAAAUUCAAGAAGAUGGUUUAGGCUUGCAAGAGCAUACUUGGAUAUCAAAGGACAAGUAGAGGACCACUGCUUGGUAACGUUUUGUCUGGUUACCAUCUUUAGGAUCAUUGGCUUCG
RNAcentral lists this long non-coding RNA (32131 nucleotides) under Arabidopsis lyrata. RNAcentral's name for it is "long non-coding RNA (ALYR_LNC001146)". Lineage: Eukaryota; Viridiplantae; Streptophyta; Magnoliopsida; Brassicales; Brassicaceae. The record is from RNAcentral.